CUACGGGUCGCUCCAGUGGGGAAUUUUGCGCAAUGGGGGAAACCCUGACGCAGCAAUACCGCGUGAGUGAAGAGGGCCUUUGGGUCGUAAAGCUCUUUUCUUGGGGAAGAUAGUGACGGUACCCAAGGAAUAAGCACCGGCUAACUCCGUGCCAGCAGCCGCGGUAAUACGGAGGGUGCAAGCGUUGUUCGGAUUUACUGGGCGUAAAGGGCACGUAGGCGGCACAGCAAGUUAAGGGUGAAAUCCCGGGGCUCAACUCCGGAACUGCUCUUAAAACUGCGGAGCUAGAGAUAGUCAGAGGCGGGUGGAAUUCCAGGUGUAGAGGUGAAAUUCGUAGAUAUCUGGAGGAACACCGGUGGCGAAGGCGGCCCGCUGGGGCUAUUCUGACGCUAAGGUGCGAAAGCGUGGGGAGCAAACGGGAUUAGAUACCCGAGUAGUC
RNAcentral lists this ribosomal RNA (439 nucleotides) under uncultured bacterium. Its description in RNAcentral is "partial 16S ribosomal RNA". It matches the Rfam family "Bacterial small subunit ribosomal RNA", at positions 339 to 795 of the family's 1533-position model. The record is from RNAcentral.